RNAcentral lists this ribosomal RNA (709 nucleotides) under uncultured bacterium. RNAcentral's name for it is "bacterial SSU rRNA". It matches the Rfam family "Bacterial small subunit ribosomal RNA", at positions 84 to 774 of the family's 1533-position model. The record is from RNAcentral.
GGGAAAGUAGAGUGGCGCACGGGUGAGUAACACGUAGGUAAUCUACCUUUGGAUGGGGAAUAACCACCGGAAACGGUGGCUAAUACCGCAUAAUGCAGCGGCACCUAAUGGUGACAGUUGUUAAAGCGGGGGAUCGAAAGACCUCGCGUCUAAAGAGGAGCCUGCGGCGGAUUAGCUAGUUGGUAAGGUAAUGGCUUACCAAGGCUACGAUCUGUAACCGGCCUGAGAGGGCGGUCGGUCACACUGACACUGACAUACGGGUCAGACUCCUACGGGAGGCAGCAGUCGGGAAUUUUGGGCAAUGGGCGAAAGCCUGACCCAGCAACGCCGCGUGAAGGAUGAAAUCCCUCGGGAUGUAAACUUCGCAAGAACGGGAAGAAUAAGUAGAAGCUAAUAUCUUCUAUGAUGACGGUACCGUUUGUAAGCUCCGGCUAACUUCGUGCCAGCAGCCGCGGUAAUACGAGGGGAGCAAGCGUUGUUCGGAUUUACUGGGCGUAAAGGGCGCGUAGGCGGCGUGGCAAGUCACUUGUGAAAUCUCCGGGCUUAACCCGGAACGGUCAAGUGAAACUGUCGUGCUAGAGUACAGAAGGGGCAACUGGAAUUCUCGGUGUAGCGGUGAAAUGCGUAGAUAUCGAGAGGAACACUGCGGCGAAGGCCGGGUUGCUGGGCUGAUACUGACGCUGAGGCGCGAAAGCCAGGGGAGCGAACG